RNAcentral lists this ribosomal RNA (253 nucleotides) under uncultured bacterium. RNAcentral's name for it is "partial 16S ribosomal RNA". It matches the Rfam family "Bacterial small subunit ribosomal RNA", at positions 524 to 776 of the family's 1533-position model. The record is from RNAcentral.
UACGUAGGGAGCAAGCGUUGUUCGGAUUUACUGGGCGUAAAGGGCGCGUAGGCGGCAACUCAAGUCAGCUGUGAAAUCUCCGAGCUUAACUCGGAACGGUCAGCUGAUACUGUUUUGCUAGAGUGCAGAAGGGGCAAUCGGAAUUCUUGGUGUAGCGGUGAAAUGCGUAGAUAUCAAGAGGAACACCUGAGGUGAAGACGGGUUGCUAGGCUGACACUGACGCUGAGGCGCGAAAGCCAGGGGAGCAAACGGG